GAUGAACGCUGGCGGCGUGCCUAAUACAUGCAAGUCGAGCGAACGGACGAGAAGCUUGCUUCUCUGAUGUUAGCGGCGGACGGGUGAGUAACACGUGGAUAACCUACCUAUAAGACUGGGAUAACUUCGGGAAACCGGAGCUAAUACCGGAUGAUAUUUUGAACCGCAUGGUUCAAAAGUGAAAGACGGUCUUGCUGUCACUUAUAGAUGGAUCCGCGCUGCAUUAGCUAGUUGGUAAGGUAACGGCUUACCAAGGCAACGAUGCAUAGCCGCCCUGAGAGGUUGUUCGCCCACCUGGAACCUGGACCACGGUCAGACUCCUACGGGAGGCAGCAGUAGGGAAUCUUCCGCAAUGGGCGAAGGCCUGACGGAGCAACGCCGCGUGAGUGAUGAAGGUCUUCGGAUCGUAAAACUCUGUUAUUAGGGAAGAACAUAUGUGUAAGUAACUGUGCACAUCUUGACGGUACCUAAUCAGAAAGCCACGGCUAACUACGUG
RNAcentral lists this ribosomal RNA (496 nucleotides) under uncultured bacterium. RNAcentral describes it as "partial 16S ribosomal RNA". It matches the Rfam family "Bacterial small subunit ribosomal RNA", at positions 28 to 507 of the family's 1533-position model. The record is from RNAcentral.